AUUGAACGCUGGCGGCAGGCCUAACACAUGCAAGUCGAGCGGUAGCACAGAGAGCUUGCUCUCGGGUGACGAGCGGCGGACGGGUGAGUAAUGUCUGGGAAACUGCCUGAUGGAGGGGGAUAACUACUGGAAACGGUAGCUAAUACCGCAUAACGUCGCAAGACCAAAGUGGGGGACCUUCGGGCCUCAUGCCAUCAGAUGUGCCCAGAUGGGAUUAGCUGGUAGGUGGGGUAACGGCUCACCUAGGCGACGAUCCCUAGCUGGUCUGAGAGGAUGACCAGCCACACUGGAACUGAGACACGGUCCAGACUCCUACGGGAGGCAGCAGUGGGGAAUAUUGCACAAUGGGCGCAAGCCUGAUGCAGCCAUGCCGCGUGUGUGAAGAAGGCCUUCGGGUUGUAAAGCACUUUCAGCGGGGAGGAAGGCGGUGAGGUUAAUAACCUCAUCGAUUGACGUUACCCGCAGAAGAAGCACCGGCUAACUCCGUGCCAGCAGCCGCGGUAAUACGGAGGGUGCAAGCGUUAAUCGGAAUUACUGGGCGUAAAGCGCACGCAGGCGGUCUGUCAAGUCGGAUGUGAAAUCCCCGGGCUCAACCUGGGAACUGCAUUCGAAACUGGCAGGCUAGAGUCUUGUAGAGGGGGGUAGAAUUCCAGGUGUAGCGGUGAAAUGCGUAGAGAUCUGGAGGAAUACCGGUGGCGAAGGCGGCCCCCUGGACAAAGACUGACGCUCAGGUGCGAAAGCGUGGGGAGCAAACAGGAUUAGAUACCCUGGUAGUCCACGCCGUAAACGAUGUCGAUUUGGAGGUUGUGCCCUUGAGGCGUGGCUUCCGGAGCUAACGCGUUAAAUCGACCGCCUGGGGAGUACGGCCGCAAGGUUAAAACUCAAAUGAAUUGACGGGGGCCCGCACAAGCGGUGGAGUAUGUGGUUUAAUUCGAUGCAACGCGAAGAACCUUACCUGGUCUUGACAUCCACAGAACUUUCCAGAGAUGGAUUGGUGCCUUCGGGAACUGUGAGACAGGUGCUGCAUGGCUGUCGUCAGCUCGUGUUGUGAAAUGUUGGGUUAAGUCCCGCAACGAGCGCAACCCUUAUCCUUUGUUGCCAGCGGUUAGGCCGGGAACUCAAAGGAGACUGCCAGUGAUAAACUGGGGGAAGGUGGGGAUGACGUCAAGUCAUCAUGGCCCUUACGGCCAGGGCUACACACGUGCUACAAUGGCAUAUACAAAGAGAAGCGACCUCGCGAGAGCAAGCGGACCUCAUAAAGUAUGUCGUAGUCCGGAUUGGAGUCUGCAACUCGACUCCAUGAAGUCGGAAUCGCUAGUAAUCGUAGAUCAGAAUGCUACGGUGAAUACGUUCCCGGGCCU
RNAcentral lists this ribosomal RNA (1361 nucleotides) under uncultured bacterium. Its description in RNAcentral is "bacterial SSU rRNA". It matches the Rfam family "Bacterial small subunit ribosomal RNA", at positions 28 to 1381 of the family's 1533-position model. The record is from RNAcentral.